This 361-nucleotide transfer-messenger RNA is filed under the name Planctomycetaceae bacterium. It matches the Rfam family "transfer-messenger RNA". From Rfam's summary of the family: Bacterial tmRNA, also known as 10Sa RNA or SsrA, is named for its dual tRNA and mRNA-like properties. Its role is to liberate the mRNA from a stalled ribosome. Lineage: Bacteria; Pseudomonadati; Planctomycetota; Planctomycetia; Planctomycetales; Planctomycetaceae. RNAcentral also lists the same sequence under 1 other name. The record is from RNAcentral.
GGGGGCGAAUUGGGUUCGACCGGGCAGUUGAACGGUGAGUGGCGUGUCGUGGUUGGUCAGCAGGCCACGUUAAAAGCCGACCAAAAAACAAUUGCCGAGGAUAACCUCGUCCUAGCUGCCUAGAAACAGGUAGCUCCGGCUGAGGGCUUUUGCCGAAGAGGCCCGACUGCUGGUCACCAAUUUCGGAUCGUUCCGGGUCACCGCCGAGCACGCCCGGGAUUAAACCCUGUUCCCGGCUAGUCCCUGCAGCAGCCCGUCGAAUGGCGGCCGCGGACGGCGAAAUCCAAACAUUCGACUACACACGUAGAAGCUCACCCGGAUACGUCGCGGGACGCGGGUUCGAUUCCCGCCGCCUCCACUA